UUCCUUAUUAAUGUUAGUCCUGUUGAAACAAAUAAUGUAUUUUUCUGUAAUUGGCUCCUCUCCCGUAUGGAUCUUCAGCCAAUGUAGUGGACUAUUGAAGGCUAUUGGCGGCAGAACCUGUUCGUUGCUCUUGAAAUAUUCCUUAUUAAUAUUAGUCCUGUUGAAAUAAUGUAUUUUCCUGUAAUUGGCUCCUCCCUCCAGAAUGGCUCUUGAUGUGAUUGACCAGUGUGUUGUAUCCUGGGAGAAGAAUCGUCGACAUGUGAUUUUCCUUAUUAAUCCAAUGUAGUCGACUAUUGAAGGCUAUUGGCGGCAGAACCUGUUCGUUGCUCUUGAAAUAUUCCUUAUUAAUAUUAGGCAUGUUGAAAUAUGGUAUUUUCCUGUAAUUGGCUUCUCCCUCCCGUAUGGAUCUUCAGCCAAUGUAGUAGUCUGUUGAAGGCUGUUGGCGACAGAACCUGUUCGUUGCUGUUAAAAUAUUCCUUUUUAAUGUUGGUCCUGUGGAAAUUUAUAUGGCUUUUCUCCCGUACGCGUCUUGAUCUGAUCAGUGUCCACUCAAUGCCCUCGCGGCAUGGUAGUGGACUAUUAAAGGCUAUUGGCAGCAGAACCUGUUCGUUGCUGUUAAAAUAUUGCUUUUUAAUGUUGGUCCUGUGGAAAUUUAUAUGGCUUUUCUCCCGUACGCGUCUUGAUCAGAUGUCGAUCCCUGAGUCUAUCCAAUGUAGUUGACUGUUGAAGGCUAUUGGCGGCAGAACCUGUUCGUUGCUCUCAAAAUAUUCCUUUUUAAUGUUGGUCCUGUGGAAAUUUAUAUGGCUUUUCUCCCGUACGCGUCUUGAUCUGAUCAGUGUCCACUCAAUGCCCUCGCGGCAUGGUAGUGGACUAUUAAAGGCUAUUGGCAGCAGAACCUGUUCGUUGCUGUUAAAAUAUUGCUUUUUAAUGUUGGUCCUGUGGAAAUUUAUAUGGCUUUUCUCCCGUACGCGUCUUGAUCAGAUGUCGAUCCCUGAGUCUAUCCAAUGUAGUUGACUGUUGAAGGCUAUUGGCGGCAGAACCUGUUCGUUGCUCUCGAAAUAUUCCUUAUUAAUAUUAGGCAUGUUGAAAUAUGGUAUUUUCCUGUAAUUGGCUCCUCCCGCCCGUAUGGAUCUUCAGCCAAUGUAGUAGUCUGUUGAAGGCUGUUGGCGACAGAACCUGUUCGUUGCUGUUAAAAUAUUCCUUUUUAAUGUUGGUCCUGUGGAAAUUUAUAUGGCUUUUCUCCCGUACGCGUCUUGAUCAGAUAUCGAUCCCAAAGUCUAGCCAAUGUAGUUGACUGUUGAAGGCUAUUGGCGGCAGAACCUGUUCGUUGCUCUUGAAAUAUUCCUUAUUAAUAUUAGGCAUGUUAAAAUAUGGUAUUUUCCUGUAAUUGGCUCCUCCCUCCCGUAUGGAUCUUCAGCCAAUGUAGUAGACUAUUAAAGGCCAUUGGCGACAGAACCUGUUCGUUGCUGUUAAAAUAUUCCUUUUUAAUGUUGGUCCUGUGGAAAUUUAUAUGGCUUUUCUCCCGUACGCGUCUUGAUCUGAUCAGUGUCCACUCAAUGCCCUCGCGGCAUGGUAGUGGACUAUUAAAGGCUAUUGGCAGCAGAACCUGUUCGUUGCUGUUAAAAUAUUCCUUUUUAAUGUUGGUCCUGUGGAAAUUUAUAUGGCUUUUCUCCCGCACGCGUCUUGAUCAAAUGUCGAUCCCAGAGUCUAGCCAAUGUAGUUGAAUGUUGAAGGCUAUUGGCGGCAGAACCUGUUCGUUGCUCUCGAAAUAUUCCUUAUUAAUGUUAGUCCUGUUGAAACAAAUAAUGUAUUUUUCUGUAAUUGGCUCCUCUCCCGUAUGGAUCUUCAGCCAAUGUAGUGGACUAUUGAAGGCUAUUGGCGGCAGAAACUGUUCGUUGCUCUUGAAAUAUUCCUUAUUAAUAUUAGUCCUGUUGAAAUAAUGUAUUUUCCUGUAAUUGGCUCCUCCCUCCAGAAUGGCUCUUGAUGUGAUUGACCAGUGUGUUGUAUCCUGGGAGAAGAAUCGUCGACAUGUGAUUUUCCUUAUUAAUGUUAGUCCUGUUGAAACAAAUAAUGUAUUUUCCUGUAAUUGGCUCCUCUCCCGUAUGGAUCUUCAGCCAAUGUAGUGGACUGUUGGAGGCUAUUGGCGGCAGAACCUGUUCGUUGCUCUCAAAAUAUUCCUUUUUAAUGUUGGUCCUGUGGAAAUUUAUAUGGCUUUUCUCCCGCACGCGUCUUGAUCAAAUGUCGAUCCCAGAGUCUAGCCAAUGUAGUUGAAUGUUGAAGGCUAUUGGCGGCAGAACCUGUUCGUUGCUCUCGAAAUAUUCCUUAUUAAUGUUAGUCCUGUUGAAACAAAUAAUGUAUUUUUCUGUAAUUGGCUCCUCUCCCGUAUGGAUCUUCAGCCAAUGUAGUGGACUAUUGAAGGCUAUUGGCGGCAGAACCUGUUCGUUGCUCUUGAAAUAUUCCUUAUUAGUGUUAGGCAUGUUGAAAUAUGGUAUUUUUCUGUAAUUGGCUCCUCUCCCGUAUGGAUCUUCAGCCAAUGUAGUAGUCUGUUGAAGGCUGUUGGCGACAGAACCUGUUCGUUGCUGUUAAAAUAUUCCUUUUUAAUGUUGGUCCUGUGGAAAUUUAUAUGGCUUUUCUCCCGUACGCGUCUUGAUCUGAUCAGUGUCCACUCAAUGCCCUCGCGGCAUGGUAGUGGACUAUUAAAGGCUAUUGGCAGCAGAACCUGUUCGUUGCUGUUAAAAUAUUGCUUUUUAAUGUUGGUCCUGUGGAAAUUUAUAUGGCUUUUCUCCCGUACGCGUCUUGAUCAGAUGUCGAUCCCUGAGUCUAUCCAAUGUAGUUGACUGUUGAAGGCUAUUGGCGGCAGAACCUGUUCGUUGCUCUCGAAAUAUUCCUUAUUAAUAUUAGGCAUGUUGAAAUAUGGUAUUUUCCUGUAAUUGGCUCCUCCCGCCCGUAUGGAUCUUCAGCCAAUGUAGUAGUCUGUUGAAGGCUGUUGGCGACAGAACCUGUUCGUUGCUGUUGAAAUAUUCCUUAUUAAUAUUAGGCAUGUUGAAAUAUGGUAUUUUCCUGUAAUUGGCUCCUCCCUCCCGUAUGGAUCUUCAGCCAAUGUAGUAGUCUGUUGAAGGCUGUUGGCGACAGAACCUGUUCGUUGCUGUUAAAAUAUUCCUUUUUAAUGUUGGUCCUGUGGAAAUUUAUAUGGCUUUUCUCCCGUACGCGUCUUGAUCUGAUCAGUGUCCACUCAAUGCCCUCGCGGCAUGGUAGUGGACUAUUAAAGGCUAUUGGCAGCAGAACCUGUUCGUUGCUCUUGAAAUAUUCCUUAUUAAUAUUAGUCCUGUUGAAAUAAUGUAUUUUCCUGUAAUUGGCUCCUCCCUCCAGAAUGGCUCUUGAUGUGAUUGACCAGUGUGUUGUAUCCUGGGAGAAGAAUCGUCGACAUGUGAUUUUCCUUAUUAAUGUUAGUCCUGUUGAAACAAAUAAUGUAUUUUCCUGUAAUUGGCUCCUCUCCCGUAUGGAUCUUCAGCCAAUGUAGUGGACUGUUGGAGGCUAUUGGCGGCAGAACCUGUUCGUUGCUCUCAAAAUAUUCCUUUUUAAUGUUGGUCCUGUGGAAAUUUAUAUGGCUUUUCUCCCGUACGCGUCUUGAUCAGAUAUCGAUCCCAAAGUCUAGCCAAUGUAGUUGACUGUUGAAGGCUAUUGGCGGCAGAACCUGUUCGUUGCUCUUGAAAUAUUCCUUAUUAAUAUUAGGCAUGUUAAAAUAUGGUAUUUUCCUGUAAUUGGCUCCUCCCUCCCGUAUGGAUCUUCAGCCAAUGUAGUAGACUAUUAAAGGCCAUUGGCGACAGAACCUGUUCGUUGCUGUUAAAAUAUUCCUUUUUAAUGUUGGUCCUGUGGAAAUUUAUAUGGCUUUUCUCCCGUACGCGUCUUGAUCUGAUCAGUGUCCACUCAAUGCCCUCGCGGCAUGGUAGUGGACUAUUAAAGGCUAUUGGCAGCAGAACCUGUUCGUUGCUGUUAAAAUAUUCCUUUUUAAUGUUGGUCCUGUGGAAAUUUAUAUGGCUUUUCUCCCGCACGCGUCUUGAUCAAAUGUCGAUCCCAGAGUCUAGCCAAUGUAGUUGAAUGUUGAAGGCUAUUGGCGGCAGAACCUGUUCGUUGCUCUCGAAAUAUUCCUUAUUAAUGUUAGUCGUGUUGAAACAAAUAAUGUAUUUUUCUGUAAUUGGCUCCUCUCCCGUAUGGAUCUUCAGCCAAUGUAGUGGACUAUUGAAGGCUAUUGGCGGCAGAAACUGUUCGUUGCUCUUGAAAUAUUCCUUAUUAAUAUUAGUCCUGUUGAAAUAAUGUAUUUUCCUGUAAUUGGCUCCUCCCUCCAGAAUGGCUCUUGAUGUGAUUGACCAGUGUGUUGUAUCCUGGGAGAAGAAUCGUCGACAUGUGAUUUUCCUUAUUAAUGUUAGUCCUGUUGAAACAAAUAAUGUAUUUUCCUGUAAUUGGCUCCUCUCCCGUAUGGAUCUUCAGCCAAUGUAGUGGACUGUUGGAGGCUAUUGGCGGCAGAACCUGUUCGUUGCUCUCAAAAUAUUCCUUUUUAAUGUUGGUCCUGUGGAAAUUUAUAUGGCUUUUCUCCCGCACGCGUCUUGAUCAAAUGUCGAUCCCAGAGUCUAGCCAAUGUAGUUGAAUGUUGAAGGCUAUUGGCGGCAGAACCUGUUCGUUGCUCUCGAAAUAUUCCUUAUUAAUGUUAGUCCUGUUGAAACAAAUAAUGUAUUUUUCUGUAAUUGGCUCCUCUCCCGUAUGGAUCUUCAGCCAAUGUAGUGGACUAUUGAAGGCUAUUGGCGGCAGAACCUGUUCGUUGCUCUUGAAAUAUUCCUUAUUAGUGUUAGGCAUGUUGAAAUAUGGUAUUUUUCUGUAAUUGGCUCCUCUCCCGUAUGGAUCUUCAGCCAAUGUAGUAGUCUGUUGAAGGCUGUUGGCGACAGAACCUGUUCGUUGCUGUUAAAAUAUUGCUUUUUAAUGUUGGUCCUGUGGAAAUUUAUAUGGCUUUUCUCCCGUACGCGUCUUGAUCAGAUGUCGAUCCCUGAGUCUAUCCAAUGUAGUUGACUGUUGAAGGCUAUUGGCGGCAGAACCUGUUCGUUGCUCUCGAAAUAUUCCUUAUUAAUAUUAGGCAUGUUGAAAUAUGGUAUUUUCCUGUAAUUGGCUCCUCCCGCCCGUAUGGAUCUUCAGCCAAUGUAGUAGUCUGUUGAAGGCUGUUGGCGACAGAACCUGUUCGUUGCUGUUGAAAUAUUCCUUAUUAAUAUUAGGCAUGUUGAAAUAUGGUAUUUUCCUGUAAUUGGCUCCUCCCUCCCGUAUGGAUCUUCAGCCAAUGUAGUAGUCUGUUGAAGGCUGUUGGCGACAGAACCUGUUCGUUGCUGUUAAAAUAUUCCUUUUUAAUGUUGGUCCUGUGGAAAUUUAUAUGGCUUUUCUCCCGUACGCGUCUUGAUCUGAUCAGUGUCCACUCAAUGCCCUCGCGGCAUGGUAGUGGACUAUUAAAGGCUAUUGGCAGCAGAACCUGUUCGUUGCUCUUAAUGGCUCUUGAUGUGAUUGACCAGUGUGUUGUAUCCUGGGAGAAGAAUCGUCGACAUGUGAUUUUCCUUAUUAAUGUUAGUCCUGUUGAAACAAAUAAUGUAUUUUCCUGUAAUUGGCUCCUCUCCCGUAUGGAUCUUCAGCCAAUGUAGUGGACUGUUGGAGGCUAUUGGCGGCAGAACCUGUUCGUUGCUCUCAAAAUAUUCCUUUUUAAUGUUGGUCCUGUGGAAAUUUAUAUGGCUUUUCUCCCGCACGCGUCUUGAUCAAAUGUCGAUCCCAGAGUCUAGCCAAUGUAGUUGAAUGUUGAAGGCUAUUGGCGGCAGAACCUGUUCGUUGCUCUCGAAAUAUUCCUUAUUAAUAUUAGGCAUGUUGAAAUAUGGUAUUUUCCUGUAAUUGGCUCCUCCCGCCCGUAUGGAUCUUCAGCCAAUGUAGUAGUCUGUUGAAGGCUGUUGGCGACAGAACCUGUUCGUUGCUGUUGAAAUAUUCCUUAUUAAUGUUAGUCCUGUUGAAACAAAUAAUGUAUUUUUCUGUAAUUGGCUCCUCUCCCGUAUGGAUCUUCAGCCAAUGUAGUGGACUAUUGAAGGCUAUUGGCGGCAGAACCUGUUCGUUGCUCUUGAAAUAUUCCUUAUUAGUGUUAGGCAUGUUGAAAUAUGGUAUUUUCCUGUAAUUGGCUCCUCCCUCCCGUAUGGAUCUUCAGCCAAUGUAGUAGUCUGUUGAAGGCUGUUGGCGACAGAACCUGUUCGUUGCUGUUGAAAUAUUCCUUAUUAAUAUUAGGCAUGUUAAACUAUGGUAUUUUUCUGUAAUUGGCUCCUCUCCCGUAUGGAUCUUCAGCCAAUGUAGUAGUCUGUUGAAGGCUGUUGGCGACAGAACCUAUUCGUUGCUGUUAAAAUAUUCCUUUUUAAUGUUGGUCCUGUGGAAAUUUAUAUGGCUUUUCUCCCGUACGCGUCUUGAUCUGAUCAGUGUCCACUCAAUGCCCUCGCGGCAUGGUAGUGGACUAUUAAAGGCUAUUGGCAGCAGAACCUGUUCGUUGCUGUUAAAAUAUUCCUUUUUAAUGUUGGUCCUGUGGAAAUUUAUAUGGCUUUUCUCCCGUACGCGUCUUGAUCAGAUGUCGAUCCCUGAGUCUAUCCAAUGUAGUUGACUGUUGAAGGCUAUUGGCGGCAGAACCUGUUCGUUGCUCUCGAAAUAUUCCUUAUUAAUAUUAGGCAUGUUGAAAUAUGGUAUUUUCCUGUAAUUGGCUCCUCCCGCCCGUAUGGAUCUUCAGCCAAUGUAGUAGUCUGUUGAAGGCUGUUGGCGACAGAACCUGUUCGUUGCUGUUGAAAUAUUCCUUAUUAAUAUUAGGCAUGUUGAAAUAUGGUAUUUUCCUGUAAUUGGCUCCUCCCUCCCGUAUGGAUAUUCAGCCAAUGUAGUAGUCUGUUGAAGGCUGUUGGCGACAGAACCUGUUCGUUGCUGUUAAAAUAUUCCUUUUUAAUGUUGGUCCUGUGGAAAUUUAUAUGGCUUUUCUCCCGUACGCGUCUUGAUCUGAUCAGUGUCCACUCAAUGCCCUCGCGGCAUGGUAGUGGACUAUUAAAGGCUAUUGGCAGCAGAACCUGUUCGUUGCUGUUAAAAUAUUGCUUUUUAAUGUUGGUCCUGUGGAAAUUUAUAUGGCUUUUCUCCCGUACGCGUCUUGAUCAGAUGUCGAUCCCUGAGUCUAUCCAAUGUAGUUGACUGUUGAAGGCUAUUGGAUGCAGAACCUGUUCGUUGCUCUCGAAAUAUUCCUUAUUAAUAUUAGGCAUGUUGAAAUAUGGUAUUUUCCUGUAAUUGGCUCCUCCCGCCCGUAUGGAUCUUCAGCCAAUGUAGUAGUCUGUUGAAGGCCAUUGGCGACAGAACCUGUUCGUUGCUCUCAAAAUAUUCCUUUUUAAUGUUGGUCCUGUGGAAAUUUAUAUGGCUUUUCUCCCGUACGCGUCUUGAUCUGAUCAGUGUCCACUCAAUGCCCUCGCGGCAUGGUAGUGAACUAUUAAAGGCUAUUGGCAGCAGAACCUGUUCGUUGCUGUUAAAAUAUUCCUUUUUAAUGUUGGUCCUGUGGAAAUUUAUAUGGCUUUUCUCCCGUACGCGUCUUGAUCAGAUAUCGAUCCCAAAGUCUAGCCAAUGUAGUUGACUGUUGAAGGCUAUUGGCGGCAGAACCUGUUCGUUGCUCUUGAAAUAUUCCUUAUUAAUAUUAGGCAUGUUAAAAUAUGGUAUUUUCCUGUAAUUGGCUCCUCCCUCCCGUAUGGAUCUUCAGCCAAUGUAGUAGACUAUUAAAGGCCAUUGGCGACAGAACCUGUUCGUUGCUCUCAAAAUAUUCCUUUUUAAUGUUGGUCCUGUGGAAAUUUAUAUGGCUUUUCUCCCGUACGCGUCUUGAUCUGAUCAGUGUCCACUCAAUGCCCUCGCGGCAUGGUAGUGGACUAUUAAAGGCUAUUGGCAGCAGAACCUGUUCGUUGCUCUUGAAAUAUUCCUUAUUAAUAUUAGGCAUGUUAAACUAUGGUAUUUUUCUGUAAUUGGCUCCUCUCCCGUAUGGAUCUUCAGCCAAUGUAGUAGACUAUUAAAGGCCAUUGGCAGCAGAACCUGUUCGUUGCUGUUAAAAUAUUCCUUUUUAAUGUUGGUCCUGUGGAAAUUUAUAUGGCUUUUCUCCCGUACGCGUCUUGAUCAGAUAUCGAUCCCAAAGUCUAGCCAAUGUAGUUGACUGUUGAAGGCUAUUGGCGGCAGAACCUGUUCGUUGCUCUUGAAAUAUUCCUUAUUAAUAUUAGGCAUGUUAAACUAUGGUAUUUUUCUGUAAUUGGCUCCUCUCCCGUAUGGAUCUUCAGCCAAUGUAGUAGACUAUUAAAGGCCAUUGGCAGCAGAACCUGUUCGUUGCUGUUAAAAUAUUGCUUUUUAAUGUUGGUCCUGUGGAAAUUUAUAUGGCUUUUCUCCCGUACGCGUCUUGAUCAGAUGUCGAUCCCUGAGUCUAUCCAAUGUAGUUGACUGUUGAAGGCUAUUGGCGGCAGAACCUGUUCGUUGCUCUCAAAAUAUUCCUUUUUAAUGUUGGUCCUGUGGAAAUUUAUAUGGCUUUUCUCCCGUACGCGUCUUAAUCUCAGUGUCCACUCAAUGCCCUCGCGGCAUGGUAGUGGACUAUUAAAGGCUAUUGGCAGCAGAACCUGUUCGUUGCUCUUGAAAUAUUCCUUAUUAAUAUUAGGCAUGUUGAAAUAUGGUAUUUUCCUGUAAUUGGCUCCUCCCUCCCGUAUGGAUCUUCAGCCAAUGUAGUAGUCUGUUGAAGGCUGUUGGCGACAGAACCUGUUCGUUGCUGUUAAAAUAUUCCUUUUUAAUGUUGGUCCUGUGGAAAUUUAUAUGGCUUUUCUCCCGUACGCGUCUUGAUCUGAUCAGUGUCCACUCAAUGCCCUCGCGGCAUGGUAGUGGACUAUUAAAGGCUAUUGGCAGCAGAACCUGUUCGUUGCUCUUGAAAUAUUCCUUAUUAAUAUUAGGCAUGUUGAAAUAUGGUAUUUUCCUGUAAUUGGCUCCUCCCUCCCGUAUGGAUCUUCAGCCAAUGUAGUAGUCUGUUGAAGGCUGUUGGCGACAGAACCUGUUCGUUGCUGUUAAAAUAUUCCUUUUUAAUGUUGGUCCUGUGGAAAUUUAUAUGGCUUUUCUCCCGUACGCGUCUUGAUCUGAUCAGUGUCCACUCAAUGCCCUCGCGGCAUGGUAGUGGACUAUUAAAGGCUAUUGGCAGCAGAACCUGUUCGUUGCUCUUGAAAUAUUCCUUAUUAAUGUUAGUCCUGUUGAAACAAAUAAUGUAUUUUCCUGUAAUUGGCUCCUCUCCCGUAUGGAUCUUCAGCCAAUGUAGUAGUCUGUUGAAGGCUAUUGGCGGCAGAACCUGUUCGUUGCUCUCAAAAUAUUCCUUUUUAAUCUUGGUCCUGUUGAAAUUUAUAUGGCUUUUCUCCCGUACGCGUCUUGAUCAAAUGUCGAUUCCAGAGUCUAGCCAAUGUAGUUGAAUGUUGAAGGCUAUUGGCGGCAGAACCUGCUCGUUGCUCUUGAAAUAUUCCUUAUUAAUGUUGUUCCUGUGGAAAUUUAUAUGGCUUUUCUCCCGCACGCGUCUUGAUCUGAUCAGUGUCCUCUUAAUGCCCUCGCGGCAUGGUAAGGGACUAUUAAAGGCCAUUGGCAGCAGAACCUGUUUGUUGCUCUUCUACGUAUAAAUCGAACACGAAACACAUUGCAAAGUUCAACACUUAUAUCUUUUCAAUAGAUAGAUUCAAAUAAGGAAUAUUUUUAUUAAAGAAAUUUGUAAUAUAAGCUGAGCUUACUUAAGGUCAUUCGCGAUAUUCUUUCAUCAACUGUCGGCCAUGCGGCUCCCGAUAUAUAAAUAUUUGGAUGGUGGCUCCCGAUGGAAUAUCAUUGUCUAUCUGGGACUACUCCUGCUGUUUUGGCGAAAGACUUACUUUUUGUCUUCGGCGGAUCCUAAAGUAUUCCUCCAACCUGGCUUAGUUGCACUACCGAUUAUUUUCCUUCCAUUUAUGUAAUAUUUCACAAAAAUAUGAAAAACAUACUGCAAAGCUCCA
Molecule: RNA transcript, 10064 nt
Organism: Drosophila willistoni
Lineage: Eukaryota; Metazoa; Arthropoda; Insecta; Diptera; Drosophilidae
Exons: 67
Source: RefSeq, a predicted model, not a curated record